UGGAGGGGGAUAACUACUGGAAACGGUGGCUAAUACCGCAUAACGUCGCAAGACCAAAGAGGGGGACCUUCGGGCCUCUUGCCAUCAGAUGUGCCCAGAUGGGAUUAGCUUGUUGGUGAGGUAACGGCUCACCAAGGCGACGAUCCCUAGCUGGUCUGAGAGGAUGACCAGCCACACUGGAACUGAGACACGGUCCAGACUCCUACGGGAGGCAGCAGUGGGGAAUAUUGCACAAUGGGCGCAAGCCUGAUGCAGCCAUGCCGCGUGUAUGAAGAAGGCCUUCGGGUUGUAAAGUACUUUCAGCGGGGAGGAAGGUGUUGUGGUUAAUAACCGCAGCAAUUGACGUUACCCGCAGAAGAAGCACCGGCUAACUCCGUGCCAGCAGCCGCGGUAAUACGGAGGGUGCAAGCGUUAAUCGGAAUUACUGGGCGUAAAGCGCACGCAGGCGGUCUGUCAAGUCGGAUGUGAAAUCCCCGGGCUCAACCUGGGAACUGCAUUCGAAACUGGCAGGCUUGAGUCUUGUAGAGGGGGGUAGAAUUCCAGGUGUAGCGGUGAAAUGCGUAGAGAUCUGGAGGAAUACCGGUGGCGAAGGCGGCCCCCUGGACAAAGACUGACGCUCAGGUGCGAAAGCGUGGGGAGCAAACAGGAUUAGAUACCCUGGUAGUCCACGCCGUAAACGAUGUCUACUUGGAGGUUGUGCCCUUGAGGCGUGGCUUCCGGAGCUAACGCGUUAAGUAGACCGCCUGGGGAGUACGGCCGCAAGGUUAAAACUCAAAUGAAUUGACGGGGGCCCGCACAAGCGGUGGAGCAUGUGGUUUAAUUCGAUGCAACGCGAAGAACCUUACCUGGUCUUGACAUCCACAGAAGAAUCCAGAGAUGGAUUUGUGCCUUCGGGAACUGUGAGACAGGUGCUGCAUGGCUGUCGUCAGCUCGUGUUGUGAAAUGUUGGGUUAAGUCCCGCAACGAGCGCAACCCUUAUCCUUUGUUGCCAGCGGUUAGGCCGGGAACUCAAAGGAGACUGCCAGUGAUAAACUGGAGGAAGGUGGGGAUGACGUCAAGUCAUCAUGGCCCUUACGACCAGGGCUACACACGUGCUACAAUGGCGCAUACAAAGAGAAGCGACCUCGCGAGAGCAAGCGGACCUCAUAAAGUGCGUCGUAGUCCGGAUUGGAGUCUGCAACUCGACUCCAUGAAGUCGGAAUCGCUAGUAAUCGUGGAUCAGAAUGCCACGGUGAAUACGUUCCCGGGCCUUGUACACACCGCCCGUCACACCAUGGGAGUGGGUUGCAAAAGAAGUAGGUAGCUUAACCUUCGGGAGGGCGCUUACCACUUUGUGAUUCAUGACUGGGGUGAAGUCGUAACAAGGUAACCGUAGGGGAACCUGCGGUUGGAUCACCUCCUUACCUUAAAGAAGC
This 1415-nucleotide ribosomal RNA is filed under the name Salmonella enterica subsp. enterica. RNAcentral describes it as "bacterial SSU rRNA". It matches the Rfam family "Bacterial small subunit ribosomal RNA". Lineage: Bacteria; Pseudomonadati; Pseudomonadota; Gammaproteobacteria; Enterobacterales; Enterobacteriaceae. RNAcentral also lists the same sequence under 1 other name. The record is from RNAcentral.